This 306-nucleotide ribosomal RNA is filed under the name uncultured Bradyrhizobiaceae bacterium. RNAcentral's name for it is "bacterial SSU rRNA". It matches the Rfam family "Bacterial small subunit ribosomal RNA", at positions 20 to 352 of the family's 1533-position model. The record is from RNAcentral. Lineage: Bacteria; Pseudomonadati; Pseudomonadota; Alphaproteobacteria; Hyphomicrobiales; Nitrobacteraceae.
UGGCUCAGAACGAACGCUGGCGGCAGGCCUAACACAUGCAAGUCGAACGGGCGUAGCAAUACGCCAGUGGCAGACGGGUGAGUAACGCGUGGGAACGUACCCUUUGGUUCGGAACAACCCAGGGAAACUUGGGCUAAUACCGGAUAAGCCCUUACGGGGAAAGAUUUAUCGCCGAAAGAUCGGCCCGCGUCCGAUUAGCUUGUUGGUGAGGUAACGGCUCACCAAGGCGGCGAUCGGUAGCUGGUCUGAGAGGAUGACCAGCCUCACUGGGACUUAUCCUCGGCCCAGGAACCUACGGGAGGCAGC